RNAcentral lists this transfer RNA (73 nucleotides) under Cordylochernes scorpioides. Its description in RNAcentral is "tRNA-Thr". Lineage: Eukaryota; Metazoa; Arthropoda; Arachnida; Pseudoscorpiones; Chernetidae. The record is from RNAcentral.
GUCCAAGGAAGGGAAUCGAACCCACAGUGUUCCGCUUACCGGGCAGAUGCCAUGUCCACUAGGCUACCCUGGA